Long non-coding RNA from Mauremys mutica (yellowpond turtle), 592 nucleotides. RefSeq lists it as uncharacterized. The transcript has 5 exons. The record is from RefSeq and is a predicted model, not a curated record. NCBI's taxonomy places the organism in Eukaryota, Metazoa, Chordata, Testudines, Geoemydidae.
AAGUGUAAAUGCCACAGGGAGGGCCAUGUGUGCAAUGUGUGUGUGGUUUUUGACUGGCCUUUUCUUCUCUUUUCCUGCAGUUUCUUUGGUGCUUCUGUCGUCGUCUUCAUUUUGUCCUUUGAGUUGCUAGAAAGAGAGAGAAAGAGAGAGAGGUGAAGCGGGCUCAGUGGACACCACAAUUCCAAGUUUCUUUGGUGCUUCUGUCGUCGUCUUCAUUUUGUCCUUUGAGUUGCUAGAAAGAGAGAGAAAGAGAGAGAGGUGAAGCGGGCUCAGUGGACACCACAAUUCCAAGUUUCUUUGGUGCUUCUGUCGUCGUCUUCAUUUUGUCCUUUGAGUUGCUAGAAAGAGAGAGAAAGAGAGAGAGGUGAAGCGGGCUCAGUGGACACCACAAUUCCAAGUUUCUUUGGUGCUUCUGUCGUCGUCUUCAUUUUGUCCUUUGAGUUGCUAGAAAGAGAGAGAAAGAGAGAGAGGUGAAGCGGGCUCAGUGGACACCACAAUUCCAAGGUCAAUGCAGAUGAAUUGGACAAGGUCCUCGCCCCUCCUUGAAAUUACCCCAGUUCCUAGGCUUCGGCACCAAUCCGUAGCAGAAGGC